GAGGAUAUAUGGUAUGUAAUAACUGAUGCUUAUAUACCUUCUGGUGUUGAAAUUAUAGUUCAUAUGCAACAUGAUCAAUAUUGUUGCUACAGAAAGGAAAACGUAUUCAUCUUCUUUGGGUUUCCCCCAUGACCCAAGCUCAUACGUUCCCUCAUUGGCUAUGGGGCCAGUUUCUAAUGGAAUUUAAUCAUCUCAUUUUGAUUUCUGAGGCAGAUGGUCCUGUGCGAAGAUUAUGAGGGAAAGAUGUGGCCCCUAGGAUCAUGAGAGGCCGCUUGGAUCCAAUCCUGAGCCCACAGUUACAUGGUGUGAGGCUUCUAAACUACAUGAUUAGGAUGCACUAGCUGAUUCUCCUGCAGGAUGGGAGCCAAGAUGCCAUCUCGAUAUGUUGUGAAGGAACUUUGGCUCCAGUGCAAUCUUGCCAGCACUGAAUCAGUGAUGGGGGCAGGUGGCUGGGGCCCAUGCCCUACAGUUGAUCAGAAUUGCUUUAAGCACCUGGCUACCCACUCCAGUAUUCUUGCCUGGAGAAUCUCAUGGUCAGAAGAGCCUGGUGGGCUGCAGUCCAAGGGGUCACAAAGAGUCGGACACCACUGAGUGACUAACACUUUCACACAUUCAUACUGGAGCCAGUUUCCGGGGUGAUUUCCAGGAGGCCAACUUCCUUAUAGGUGACCAGCCUGCAGAGACUCAGACUUGGACAAGUUAACCCUCACCUUGCCUUUUGCGUUGCCCCUUUACUAGCUGUGGGCCUUGUGCCAAUUACAUAAGCUCUCUGCCUCAGGCUCCUCAUCCACAAAAUGGAUAUGAUACGUUGUGAGGAGUAUGCAGGUGAAUAUAUGCAGUGUGCUCAGAGCUGACACGGCCAUGAGCAGUGCCUAGUGCUGGUGGCUGUCAGAGCAGGUGGAGGAGAUCCAGCUUAGAAUAUUAGAAAUUCAGGAUAUUUGAGCUUUCUGGAGUCAUCCUGACUUUCAAAUUUUUAAUUAUACAAUUUUAAUUAUACAGUUUAUUUUUAAUUAUACAAGUAGCUCAUGCAUGUUCUUAUGAAAAUUCAAAUGCUGGUAGAGCUAGUUCCCCUCACCCUACCCCUGUGCUAACUCCACCUGCCUGGACCCCACACUCACCACCACCCUCAGUUCCAGUUCUAUCUCUAGAGCUGACCACUGUUAAAAAUUGAGUGUGGUCUUCUAGCCUUUGUUUUGUAUUUAUACACACAGAUAUCACACAUCCAAGUAUAUAGCAUGAUUUGUAUUUAAAAUCAUGUAAAAUUCUGCACAAAUCUCUGCAGAUGCUUUAUUUUUUUACCCUUUUUAUUUGUGUUCAUCUUUUACUGAUAAUCUAGGAAUUCUUUCUGUAAUAAAGGCUUCAGUCCUUUCUACAUGUCACAUUAAUACCUAAUUUCCUCUACCAUGUUGCCUGCCUUUUUAACUAUUUUAUGAAGUCAUAGAGAUAUUUUUUCUUUUUCAAUUUUGACAAAAUAAAAUGUAUCACUGUGUUC
Long non-coding RNA from Bubalus bubalis (water buffalo), 1492 nucleotides. RefSeq lists it as uncharacterized. NCBI's taxonomy places the organism in Eukaryota, Metazoa, Chordata, Mammalia, Artiodactyla, Bovidae. The transcript has 2 exons. The record is from RefSeq and is a predicted model, not a curated record.